UCAUCCGGUGUUCUCACCGGUGCACUCGGCCGUGCUCAGGCCAGCAUCGGUUUUGGCGGCUGGAUAAAGGUCUCUGUCACGUACCUCCUCUCGGGGAGGCCUUAUAGGGGAGACGACAUGCAACCAGCCUGGACUGAGGUCCGCGCAUCUGCUAGGAUGCUGGCGUAAUGGCUGUAAGCGG
Molecule: ribosomal RNA, 181 nt
Filed under: Coniothyriaceae sp.
Lineage: Eukaryota; Fungi; Ascomycota; Dothideomycetes; Pleosporales; Coniothyriaceae
Description: partial large subunit ribosomal RNA
Source: RNAcentral